ACCCUACACCAACCCACCACACCUCUCUCUCUUUCUCAAGAACACCACUGGUUGAACCACCACCACCAUGAACGAGGUGGAAUGGCUCAAAACCAGCAAUGACGAGCGCUCUAUGUAGACCUAACUGCUGACCCAACAAUGGCGGCUAGGGUUCCGGUCAAAUUCCGGCUUACUCCAAUGACUAGUUAUUACUUUCCAUGUGUUAGAUUCGACUAGAUCGGCGAUGGUAGGGACUGGAUAUCGACAAGUAGGUACUAUUUGUGUGAGGAUCAGUUUUGGAUGUUUGAGUUUAUGAUAUUUUGUUUCUAAAAAUUGAUAGUGAGGACCAGUUUUGGAUGUUUGAGUUUAUGAUUUUUUGUUUCUGAAAAUUGAAAGUGAAGAUUAAUUUAGGUAUUUGAGUU
Helianthus annuus (common sunflower) is the source of this 401-nucleotide long non-coding RNA. RefSeq lists it as uncharacterized. The record is from RefSeq and is a predicted model, not a curated record. The transcript is spliced from 2 exons. Lineage: Eukaryota; Viridiplantae; Streptophyta; Magnoliopsida; Asterales; Asteraceae.